CUAAAAUGAGUUUGACCCCCCCUGGUCUAAACCAAACAAAUCCUGAAUAGUUCAAAUCUAACAGACGUGAUGCUCAAGUGCAGGUGAACUGUCCCAGCUCUAACCUUCACAGCUCUACUGCUUAUCGCUGCGAAAACAAGACGCACGCUCCGGUUUUAACU
This is a long non-coding RNA of Sphaeramia orbicularis (orbiculate cardinalfish), 161 nucleotides long. RefSeq lists it as uncharacterized. The record is from RefSeq and is a predicted model, not a curated record. NCBI's taxonomy places the organism in Eukaryota, Metazoa, Chordata, Actinopteri, Kurtiformes, Apogonidae. The transcript is spliced from 2 exons.